Molecule: ribosomal RNA, 254 nt
Filed under: uncultured bacterium
Lineage: Bacteria
Description: partial 16S ribosomal RNA
Rfam family: Bacterial small subunit ribosomal RNA
Source: RNAcentral
UACGUAGGGGCCUAGCGUUGUCCGGAUUCAUUGGGCGUAAAGAGCUCGUAGGCGGUUCGGCAAGUCGGGUGUGAAAACUCUAGGCUCAACCUAGAGACGCCACCCGAUACUGCUGUGACUUGAGUCCGGUAGGGGACCACGGAAUUCCUGGUGUAGCGGUGAAAUGCGCAGAUAUCAGGAGGAACACCGGUGGCGAAGGCGGUGGUCUGGGCCGGCACUGACGCUGAGGAGCGAAAGCGUGGGGAGCGAACAGG